CAGUCGCCACGGGAAUACGAAGGGUGCAAGCGUUACUCGGAAUUACUGGGCGUAAAGCGUGCGUAGGUGGUGGUUUGAGUCCGUUGUGAAAGCCCUGGGCUCAACCUGGGAAUUGCAGUGGAUACUGGAUCACUAGAGUGUGGUAGAGGAUUGUGGAAUUUCCGGUGUAGCAGUGAAACGCGUAGAGAUCGGAAGGAACAUCUGUGGCGAAGGCGACUAUCUGGGCCAACACUGACACUGAGGCACGAAAGCAUGGGGAGCAAACAGGAUUAGAGACCCCCGUAGUCCCUGUCUCUUAUAC
Molecule: ribosomal RNA, 301 nt
Filed under: uncultured bacterium
Lineage: Bacteria
Description: partial 16S ribosomal RNA
Rfam family: Bacterial small subunit ribosomal RNA
Source: RNAcentral